This 332-nucleotide ribosomal RNA is filed under the name uncultured Glomeromycotina. RNAcentral describes it as "SSU rRNA". It matches the Rfam family "Eukaryotic small subunit ribosomal RNA", at positions 569 to 906 of the family's 1831-position model. The record is from RNAcentral. Lineage: Eukaryota; Fungi; Glomeromycota.
CGCAGCCGCGGUAAUUCCAGCUCCAAUAGCGUAUAUUAAAGUUGUUGCAGUUAAAAAGCUCGUAGUUGAAUUUCGGGGUCAGUAGGUUGGUCGUGCCACCGGUACGUACUGGUCUCACUGAUUCCUCCUUCCUGAUGAGCCGUAAUGCCAUUAAUUUGGUGUUGCGGGGAAUUUGGACUGUUACUUUGAAAAAAUUGAGUGUUUAAAGCAAGCUAACGCUUGAAUACAUUAGCAUGGAAUAAUGAAAUAGGACGUUCGAUCCUAUUUUGUUGGUUUCUAGGAUUGACGUAAUGAUUAAUAGGGAUAGUUGGGGGCAUUAGUAUUCAAUUGUC